GGCCGGGCAAGACUCUGGUCAGAUGCAUCUGGUAAAGUCCCUCAGUCAUGCAGAGGUAUUCUGAUGGGUGGCCCAAGCAGAAUUUCUAGCCAUAAUCCCA
This is a long non-coding RNA of Gavialis gangeticus (Gharial), 100 nucleotides long. RefSeq lists it as uncharacterized. NCBI's taxonomy places the organism in Eukaryota, Metazoa, Chordata, Crocodylia, Gavialidae. The transcript has 2 exons. The record is from RefSeq and is a predicted model, not a curated record.